UGGGGAAUAUUGGACAAUGGGCGCAAGCCUGAUCCAGCCAUGCCGCGUGAGUGAUGAAGGCCCUAGGGUUGUAAAGCUCUUUCACCGGUGAAGAUAAUGACGGUAACCGGAGAAGAAGCCCCGGCUAACUUCGUGCCAGCAGCCGCGGUAAUACGAAGGGGGCUAGCGUUGUUCGGAUUUACUGGGCGUAAAGCGCGCGUAGGCGGUUUUUUAAGUCUGAUGUGAAAGCCCACGGCUCAACCGUGGAGGGUCAUUGGAAACUGGAAAACUUGAGUGCAGAAGAGGAAAGUGGAAUUCCAUGUGUAGCAGUGAAAUGCGCAGAGAUAUGGAGGAACACCAGUGGCGAAGGCGACUUUCUGGUCUGUAACUGACGCUGAUGUGCGAAAGCGUGGGGAUCAAACAGG
This 404-nucleotide ribosomal RNA is filed under the name Actinomycetes bacterium. Its description in RNAcentral is "Actinobacteria bacterium partial 16S ribosomal RNA". It matches the Rfam family "Bacterial small subunit ribosomal RNA", at positions 355 to 776 of the family's 1533-position model. The record is from RNAcentral. Lineage: Bacteria; Bacillati; Actinomycetota; Actinomycetes.